This 1525-nucleotide ribosomal RNA is filed under the name Parabacteroides distasonis. Its description in RNAcentral is "16S ribosomal RNA". It matches the Rfam family "Bacterial small subunit ribosomal RNA". Lineage: Bacteria; Pseudomonadati; Bacteroidota; Bacteroidia; Bacteroidales; Tannerellaceae. The record is from RNAcentral.
ACAACGAAGAGUUUGAUCCUGGCUCAGGAUGAACGCUAGCGACAGGCUUAACACAUGCAAGUCGAGGGGCAGCACAGGUAGCAAUACCGGGUGGCGACCGGCGCACGGGUGAGUAACGCGUAUGCAACUUGCCUAUCAGAGGGGGAUAACCCGGCGAAAGUCGGACUAAUACCGCAUGAAGCAGGGGCCCCGCAUGGGGAUAUUUGCUAAAGAUUCAUCGCUGAUAGAUAGGCAUGCGUUCCAUUAGGCAGUUGGCGGGGUAACGGCCCACCAAACCGACGAUGGAUAGGGGUUCUGAGAGGAAGGUCCCCCACAUUGGUACUGAGACACGGACCAAACUCCUACGGGAGGCAGCAGUGAGGAAUAUUGGUCAAUGGGCGUAAGCCUGAACCAGCCAAGUCGCGUGAGGGAUGAAGGUUCUAUGGAUCGUAAACCUCUUUUAUAAGGGAAUAAAGUGUGGGACGUGUCCCGUUUUGUAUGUACCUUAUGAAUAAGGAUCGGCUAACUCCGUGCCAGCAGCCGCGGUAAUACGGAGGAUCCGAGCGUUAUCCGGAUUUAUUGGGUUUAAAGGGUGCGUAGGCGGCCUUUUAAGUCAGCGGUGAAAGUCUGUGGCUCAACCAUAGAAUUGCCGUUGAAACUGGGGGGCUUGAGUAUGUUUGAGGCAGGCGGAAUGCGUGGUGUAGCGGUGAAAUGCAUAGAUAUCACGCAGAACCCCGAUUGCGAAGGCAGCCUGCCAAGCCAUUACUGACGCUGAUGCACGAAAGCGUGGGGAUCAAACAGGAUUAGAUACCCUGGUAGUCCACGCAGUAAACGAUGAUCACUAGCUGUUUGCGAUACACUGUAAGCGGCACAGCGAAAGCGUUAAGUGAUCCACCUGGGGAGUACGCCGGCAACGGUGAAACUCAAAGGAAUUGACGGGGGCCCGCACAAGCGGAGGAACAUGUGGUUUAAUUCGAUGAUACGCGAGGAACCUUACCCGGGUUUGAACGCAUUCGGACCGAGGUGGAAACACCUUUUCUAGCAAUAGCCGUUUGCGAGGUGCUGCAUGGUUGUCGUCAGCUCGUGCCGUGAGGUGUCGGCUUAAGUGCCAUAACGAGCGCAACCCUUGCCACUAGUUACUAACAGGUGAUGCUGAGGACUCUGGUGGGACUGCCAGCGUAAGCUGCGAGGAAGGCGGGGAUGACGUCAAAUCAGCACGGCCCUUACAUCCGGGGCGACACACGUGUUACAAUGGCGUGGACAAAGGGAGGCCACCUGGCGACAGGGAGCGAAUCCCCAAACCACGUCUCAGUUCGGAUCGGAGUCUGCAACCCGACUCCGUGAAGCUGGAUUCGCUAGUAAUCGCGCAUCAGCCAUGGCGCGGUGAAUACGUUCCCGGGCCUUGUACACACCGCCCGUCAAGCCAUGGGAGCCGGGGGUACCUGAAGUCCGUAACCGAAAGGAUCGGCCUAGGGUAAAACUGGUGACUGGGGCUAAGUCGUAACAAGGUAGCCGUACCGGAAGGUGCGGCUGGAACACCUCCUUU